This 421-nucleotide long non-coding RNA is filed under the name Mustela putorius furo (domestic ferret). RNAcentral's name for it is "lncRNA (ENSMPUG00000026439.1)". The record is from RNAcentral. Lineage: Eukaryota; Metazoa; Chordata; Mammalia; Carnivora; Mustelidae.
CUCUACUUAGGGUCCUUCCUGGAAAUGGUGGUUUGACCUUAGCUGUCCUUGCCUCCAUAACCAUCCUGCUGACGUUCCCAAUGGCUGUUAAGCUUUUUGGCUGGGGAAAAAAACAAACUCUUUUCUGGAAGAAAGUAUUAGGUGCUCUUCCAGCUCCCAGAUGGUUGGAUCUUGCAGUGUAAUGUCAGGGACCUCCUAAGGUUUGUUUGUUUGUUUGUUUCUUAUUGUCAAGGAAUGCCAGCACUUUGCCUUCCACUCUAAUACCAUUAAUGGAGAACAUAUUCUUUAAACAUGGAACAUACGUUCACUAAAAUCAAUUCAUAUAGAAAAAUGCAGCACUUUUCAGGAGGAAGGAGAUUAAGGAGAUUUGCAACCUGAGGAAUAAUUGACUUGUGCAUACCUCCUCCAUCCAAAGGAUCAG